UCUUGGUACAUCCUGCCAUGAGUGCCA
Molecule: non-coding RNA, 27 nt
Filed under: Homo sapiens (human)
Lineage: Eukaryota; Metazoa; Chordata; Mammalia; Primates; Hominidae
Source: RNAcentral